UAGCAUAUCAAUAAGCGGAGGAAAAGAAACCAACAGGGAUUGCCUCAGUAACGGCGAGUGAAGCGGCAACAGCUCAAAUUUGAAAUCUGGCGCAAGCCCGAGUUGUAAUUUGCAGAGGAUGUUUCGGGUGAAGCCACGGUCCAAGUCCCUUGGAACAGGACGUCAUAGAGGGUGAGAACCCCGUACCUGGCCGUCGGUGCCCCCCGCUGUGAAACUCCUUCGACGAGUCGAGUUGUUUGGGAAUGCAGCUCUAAAUUGGUGGUAAAUUCCAUCUAAAGCUAAAUACCGGCCAGAGACCGAUAGCGCACAAGUAGAGUGAUCGAAAGAUGAAAAGCACUUUGAAAAGAGAGUUAAAAAGUACGUGAAAUUGUUGAAAGGGAAGCGCUUGCGGCCAGACUUGCCCGCGGUUGCUCAGCCCGCCUUUUGGCGGGUGCACUCUUCCGCGGUCAGGCCAGCAUCGGUUUGGGCGGCCGGAUAAAGGCGCCGGGAACGUGGCCUCCCCUCGGGGAGGUGUUAUAGCCCGGCGUGCAAUGCGGCCAGCCCGGACCGAGGUUCGCGCUCUGCUAGGAUGCUGGCGUAAUGGCCGUAAGCGGCCCGUCUUGAAACACGGACCAAGGAGUCUAACAUCUAUGCGAGUGUUUGGGUGUCAAACCCGUGCGCGUAAUGAAAGUGAACGGAGGUGGGAACCGCAAGGUGCACCAUCGACCGAUCCUGAUGUCUUCGGAAGGAUUUGAGUAAGAGCAUAGCUGUUGGGACCCGAAAGAUGGUGAACUAUGCGUGAAUAGGGUGAAGCCAGAGGAAACUCUGGUGGAGGCUCGCAGCGGUUCUGACGUGCAAAUCGAUCGUCAAAUUUGCGUAUAGGGGCGAAAGACUAAUCGAACCAUUUAGUAGCUGGUUCCUGCCGAAGUUUCCCUC
Molecule: ribosomal RNA, 915 nt
Filed under: Venturia nashicola
Lineage: Eukaryota; Fungi; Ascomycota; Dothideomycetes; Venturiales; Venturiaceae
Description: partial large subunit ribosomal RNA
Rfam family: Eukaryotic large subunit ribosomal RNA
Source: RNAcentral